UAGGGAAUCUUCCGCAAUGGACGAAAGUCUGACGGAGCAACGCCGCGUGAGCGAAGAAGGCCUUCGGGUCGUAAAGCUCUGUUGUUAGGGAAGAACAAGUACGAGAGUAACUGCUCGUACCUUGACGGUACCUAACCAGAAAGCCACGGCUAACUACGUGCCAGCAGCCGCGGUAAUACGUAGGUGGCAAGCGUUGUCCGGAAUUAUUGGGCGUAAAGCGCGCGCAGGCGGUCCUUUAAGUCUGAUGUGAAAGCCCACGGCUCAACCGUGGAGGGUCAUUGGAAACUGGGGGACUUGAGUGCAGAAGAGGAGAGUGGAAUUCCACGUGUAGCGGUGAAAUGCGUAGAGAUGUGGAGGAACACCAGUGGCGAAGGCGACUCUCUGGUCUGUAACUGACGCUGAGGCGCGAAAGCGUGGGGAGCAAACAGGAUUAGAUACCCUGGUAGUCCACGCCGUAAACGAUGAGUGCUAAGUGUUAGAGGGUUUCCGCCCUUUAG
This 497-nucleotide ribosomal RNA is filed under the name uncultured Bacillota bacterium. RNAcentral describes it as "bacterial SSU rRNA". It matches the Rfam family "Bacterial small subunit ribosomal RNA", at positions 355 to 843 of the family's 1533-position model. Lineage: Bacteria; Bacillati; Bacillota. The record is from RNAcentral.